GUUCCUUCCGGUUCUAAUAUUCUGUGAUACAACAGCACUGAGAAUCCUCUGCAGCUCUAUGGUUACAGGAGUGAGGGUACAAGUGAGAUCGUGACAGUGGAGCUAUUUGCAGGUUACAGGCCAGCAACACUAGAUUCCUACAGCUAGAAGGUGGAUGGCAAAGAAGACAGAAUAAAGAAGAUAAUCAGGACAGCCAUGAUAAAGGAGCAUGAAAUACGAGACUGGGACAGCAGCCAGAUCCACGUCUUUAACCUCCUACAGCAUCUGCCCACCUUGGCUCAUAUCUGCAGAUGUAAACGCACGAGGGAAGAGAUGAUCAGGGAGCAAAUGGACUGCAUGCAUACCCUUGUGGCGAAUAUCCAGGCACUGUUAUGGAGUGUGUGCCAUCCUGCCUUGAAAGGGUCAUGGACCAGAACUGCUCCAAUGGCACUCCUAGUCCCUCCUGCACCAGCCCCAUGAUUUAUAUCCCCAGGAUCUUUAGGGGCUGCCAGUGCCCUAGGACAUGGGGGAGGGGAACUCAAGGGGAAUCUGUAAGCCCUUUGGAGGCAGAAGUCUCCCAUUCCUGAGCCCCCUGUUCCGGUUUCCAGUUCUUCCACUUCCCUGUUG
This is a non-coding RNA of Pelodiscus sinensis (Chinese soft-shelled turtle), 606 nucleotides long. The record is from RefSeq and is a predicted model, not a curated record. NCBI's taxonomy places the organism in Eukaryota, Metazoa, Chordata, Testudines, Trionychidae.